GUGGGACAUAGGAAGUUGUGCCUAUCAUGGCCUGGACUUGUUUUCUCAUCCUGCUGCUCUCUUACUGCAUAGGUAGGAAAAUGCUUCAGGAAUCAGUUUUUGAUUCACUGUUUGCAUCAACUCUUUAGGUAUGAACCUAUGAGAAGUUUUACCAUGGGCACUAUCUUCUCUAUUUUUCUCUGUAGGUUCCCUCUCCCAGCCUGUGCUGACUCAACUGCCAUCUCUCUCUGCAUCUCCGGGAGCAUCUUCCAAGCUUACCUGCACUCUGAGCAGCGGCUUCAGUGUUGGUAGCUACAGGAUAUAUUGGUACCAGCAGAAGCCAGGGAGUCCUCCCAAGUAUCUCCUGAACUAUUACUCAGAGUCAAGCAAGCACCAGGGCCCUGGGGUCCCCAAUCAUUUCUCUGGAUCCAAAGAUACCUCAGCCAAUGCGGGUGUUCUGUGGAUAUCUGGGCUCCAAAUUGAAGAUGAGGCUGACUAUUACUGUGCGGUGGGGCACAAUAAUGCUUUUCACAGUGAAACAGGCAGAUGGGGAA
RNAcentral lists this long non-coding RNA (533 nucleotides) under Marmota monax (woodchuck). Lineage: Eukaryota; Metazoa; Chordata; Mammalia; Rodentia; Sciuridae. The record is from RNAcentral.